Molecule: long non-coding RNA, 309 nt
Filed under: Elaeis guineensis (African oil palm)
Lineage: Eukaryota; Viridiplantae; Streptophyta; Magnoliopsida; Arecales; Arecaceae
Description: long non-coding RNA (EGUI_LNC068618)
Source: RNAcentral
CUCCAUCGAACAUCCAUCCUCGAUCAAGCAUCCGAUCUAGUUCAUAACAUUGGGUCCUCGAGCAUAGAUCUCUCUCCAGAUAAAAGAACAACCUCAGGUAGUUUGGAUGGGGAUCCCAUGGCUCCAUCCAUCAUAGUGGACGCUCAUCACCUUACUCUACAAGCAGUUUGGUUGGAUCAAAAAUCUGGCUGCAUGUCUGGCAAUCAGAGCUUCCCUCCUCGUCACUAAGGAAUGGAUCCUAAAGCCACCGUCCUGCAUAAGCUGGCACACCUCCUAGGAUAGCAGAUAGAUACGCUGAUGAUCGCACCC